GAGAGAGAGAGACUAGCCCCGCCGGCGGCCCAUUGAGGAAAGAUGGCCACAGUCAGUGCAAACGGAGUGCAGCAGGAGAAUGGAUUCAGCACCACGGACAGCGGCGGCAGGAUGAACGGGCUCAGCCUCGGCCAGAACACCAUCCCCAUGAAGGACCACGACGCCAUCAAGCUUUUCAUCGGCCAGAUCCCCCGCAACCUGGAGGAGAAGGACCUGAAACCACUCUUUGAGGAAUUUGGCAAGAUAUACGAACUCACGGUACUGAAAGACAGGUUUACCGGGAUGCAUAAAGGAUGUGCCUUUCUAACAUACUGUGCCAGAGAGUCAGCACUGAAAGCCCAGAGCGCCCUCCAUGAACAGAAGACGCUGCCAGGGAUGAAUCGGCCCAUCCAGGUGAAGCCAGCAGACAGCGAAGGACGGGGAGAAGACAGGAAGCUGUUUGUGGGGAUGCUGGGCAAGCAGCAGAGCGAGGACGACGUCCGGCGGCUCUUCGAGACCUUCGGCCAGAUCGAGGAGUGCACCGUCCUGCGGGGUCCUGACGGGGCCAGUAAGGGCUGUGCUUUCGUCAAAUUCUCCAGCCACGCAGAAGCCCAGGCUGCUAUCAACAGCUUGCACGGCGGACAGACUAUGCCUGGGGCCUCGUCCAGCCUGGUGGUCAAAUUCGCAGACACAGACAAGGAGAGGACUCUGCGCAGGAUGCACCAGAUGGCGGGUCAGCUCGGCAUCUUUAGUCCCAUGACCAUCCAGUUUGGGGCCUACGGCGCCUACUCUCACGCUGUAAGUCUCAGCCCGGCGGGGGAGGAGACGCAGAUGAUGCAACAGCAAGCAGCCCUGAUGGCGGCAACGCAAGGGUCCUACCUGAACCCCAUGGCGGCCAUCGCCGCCGCGCAAAUGCAGCAAAUGGCAGCUUUCAAUGUCAAUGGCCUGGUGGCCACGCCCAUGACACCAUCCUCAGGUAACUCCUACCCUGAUCACAGAGAUGUAACUCCAUCCAUCCAUCCAUCCAUCUUCUUCCGCUUAUCCGAGGUCGGGUCGCGGGGGCAGCAGCCUAAGCAGGGAAGCCCAGACUUCCCUCUCCCCAGCCACUUCGUCCAGCUCCUCCCGGGGGAUCCCGAGGCGUUCCCAGGCCAGCCGGGAGACAUAGUCUUCCCAACGUGUCCUGGGUCUUCCCCGUGGCCUCCUACCGGUCGGACGUGCCCUAAACACCUCCCGAGAUGCACCAGCACACCCCCAGGCAUCACUGCAACAGCUGUCCCCAGCAUAGGCGGCCCCAUCGGAGUAAACGGAUUCAGCGCUCUGGCGCCCCAAAGCAACGGGCAGCCCACGUCGGAGCCCAUCUACACCAACGGCAUUCACCCGUACCCAGCACAGAGUCCGACGGUGGCCGACCCUCUCCAGCAGGCUUACGCCGGCGUCCAACACUACGCAGCAGCCUACCCUGCCGCCUAUGCGCCAAUCAGCCAAGCGUUCCCACAGCAACCGACCAUCAUCCCCCAGCAACAGAGGGAAGGGCCAGAGGGUUGCAACCUGUUUAUUUAUCACCUGCCCCAGGAAUUCGGUGACGCCGAGCUCAUGCAAAUGUUCCUCCCUUUCGGCAACGUCAUCUCUGCGAAGGUCUUCGUGGACAGAGCAACUAAUCAGAGCAAAUGUUUCGGCUUUGUGAGUUUUGAUAACCCAUCCAGCGCCCAAGCAGCCAUCCAGGCCAUGAACGGCUUUCAAAUAGGCAUGAAGAGGCUGAAGGUGCAGCUAAAGCGGCCAAAGGACGCCAACCGACCUUACUGACUGGUCUGCAGUCUGGAUGAAGGGACAAUCCCCACUAUGGCAACCCAGUCACAGUGUGAGGUGGCCUUGCCGCACUAUAGCCACACCCCCUCGCCCAACGCCAAAGUUGCUGCAGCAGAUGAAGGGCCACAACACCUUAUUUCCACAAGUGCAGUCGAAAGUACAAAGACUCCUUGCUCUGCUACAUAUCACGAAGGAAUGGUGGUCUCUUGAUCCCGCUGGAAUCCCGCUAAAAGAUUGGGCGACAGAGAAGAGUUUUCCCUUUUUUCUUUCCCGCUUCUUUGUUUUUUUUUUAAGUUUUUUUUUUUUUUUGCAAACACCUUUUUUAUUAUUCUGUUUUGUUUUGGAAAAUUUCUGCAGAGACCAACUUUUUUGCUGCUCUUUUUUAGACAUGAUGGGUUGGGGAAAAGAAAGAAAAAAAUAACUUUUUAGACUCAUUAUGCUCAAAGCAUGCAUAUGUCAACACACACGCAUACACAAAGACAAUGAAGUUAAAAAAAAAAAAAAAAAAAACUUUGUAUAUGUAUAAAUAAGUGCAAAUGCCAAUUCAAGUACUAAAGCAAACAAACACACACAUAUAUAAACACACACACACUCAAGCACACACACACACACACACACACACACACACACACACACACACACACACACACACACACACACACACACCAGCCUGCUGCCAUUUUGGUUUUUGUGCCUACACAGCUGUGUACUGUGUGACAGGGCCGUGCUCUGGAUGGAUGAAGACAACAACAAAGAAGAAGAAUCCAGGAUAAUUUACAUGCAUCAUUCCUUAGGAAAUAGGGACCAAAGGACUAAAACGCUUUUUAAAAGAAUAUAAAUAUAUAAAUAUAUAUUUAAAAAAAAAAAAAUCAUACCUUGUAGCUUCAAGUAUUACUCAUAGUUAAAAAAAAACAUUAAAUCAAUAUCCAGUGGCCUACUGUAAGUACGAAUAAAAAGAAAAUGGACUUCAUGUAUCAAAAAAAUAAUAAUAAUGGUAGCUUAGGGACUGAUAUUUUUUGCUCUGGAUGCUGAUCGGGCACCAGGUUGUAUUAUAGGUUAGAAGUAGAUUAGGAAAAAUAUGUAGAUUUGCUAACUUUUAAUGUUGUUUGAAAAAAAAAAAAAAUACUUGAAGUUACAAUGAAAAGAAACAAAGGAACAAUGGACAUGACAUGGUCACUGGAUACUGCGCUCAUUAGAACGUCCAAGGCAACGGGAGAAAGACUGUUCCGGAACGGGAACCCCACUUAAAAAAACAAGACAACUCAUGCCUGCGCUGGACACGGUGCAGACGAUGAAGACUUCUCCUUCGCCAUUGCGAUGUCCAAGCGACAAUCCACUUUAAAAGACCAGGCAACCCCGAUUGGUGUCUUUUGGACUUUUGUUUACUGACGUUUGUUUCAAAUCGCAACACAUGAAGCCACCAAUUGUUGAAAGCAAACUGUUUCUAUGGAGGGAAAUGAACGCACGUUUAUUAUCGAACAGGAAAGCUACCGAAACUGCCAGAAGAAUGAACCUCAAAUAAUUAAAGCCGGGUUUCCCUUAGCGUUGGAUGUGCAUUUUAUCGCGUUUCCAUUGUUCAACAGGAUGAUCAAAAUAUCCAAACUAAUUACCAAACGAGUACCAGCGUGCAAUGUUUCAAUGAAUUACUUUUAAAUCCUGAAUAAAACAAGGUACCGUGCAAGAUAAACAAGUAUGUAAUACAAAAAUAAUCAUAACAUGUUUCCCAUGUCGUCAUUUCUAUCAUAGCAUGUAAGAUGACAAAGAAAGACAAUUCUCCAACGGCCAAUAAAUAACCCUGUGGGUUCAGCCCCCAUUUUUAUCGGCCACUAUUGUGUGUAAAAAGCACAGACAGAGGUAGUAUCAGAGCCGUAUCUAAGACGGAAGGGUGCCCGUGUAACUUCUACAGUAAAUGUGUUUUUAGGGCAGGCAUGGCGAUUUUGUUUGUGUUAAGCGUGCACAAUUGACUAGGACUGGUUACCGACCGAAUUACGUCCGUAACUUCGAUACCAGGGUUGCACGUGACGUCAUGUCAGGUUGCAGACUUGGCACAUUCAGAACAGGUGUAGUCAUAGUGGACUGCCUAUAGGAAAUGUUGCAAUUUUCUAUGCCAACAAAGCAAGCAUGGCUGACAGAAAGUGGUCAAAGGUAAGGCCCCACUUUCCGAGCUAGCUCGAUGUUAAUUUAUAUUGGAUAUGUCUAAAUACAUGCUACUAGCAUUAGCAAUUUUACAUGGCAAUUUCAACACCUCCGAACAUUUGCAAUCAAAAGUACAGCAAAGAUGCCCGUUACAACAAAAAAGCUGAUUCAUAAACUAAUUACCAAUUAUUACUACUUUAAUACACACAAAAGUACAGAAAAUUUGUAUUUUUGAGUAGCGAUACCAAGGUACCGGGCAUUGGUGAAAGAUACUUAUCCCUACAGUUGACCCCCCAAUAUCCUGCCUUUGGCGGUAGUAUCUGAGCUAUAGUAAAAAGCUGCAAGUUUGUAAAUGUAAAUACAUGUGAAUGCCAGAUGGGAAGCAGUGAAGUUUGAAACAGUUUUUGCUACUGUGUUGAAAAGCUAUCCGACGAGUAUUAAGUGUCAGACCUGACGGUGGAACCGUUGUCCAUUUUGGAAUGCAGUUUAAAAUUAUCAGCUUUUUUGCCUCUCGACUUUUUUUGGGACCUCUACCAGAGCCUAUACUGCGACUAAUACGGGUCACUAAAGAGUUGGAUAUUUCAGUCCCCUUUACAACAAUGGAAAUACGAUAAAAUGCAAACUCACAAAUGGUAAACAAGACCUAAAAAGUUGUAUAAUUGUGUCAAAAGUCCCCUUAAAUUGUGUUCUUUAGGUGUUGGAAACACAUGAAAAACACUAUAAUAACAUGAUGUACAUUCCACUGUUAACAUGUCCCUUGACCUACUUUGUACAAUGAUUUAAGACAAAAGAUAAGGACACACUCCUUCGUAAAAAGCCAACAACUCUGAACAUUCCCUCAAUUUGUCAAACGAAUGCCAGCUUCCGAGAUCCCAACACACUUUGAGCUGUGGCUAAUGACAGGCGCCAAGAAGCAGGUCUCGGCAGGAGAAGUGAGCAUCCUUUUAAACUAAUACUUCUAGGAUGACUAUAAAAAUAGAAGGUGUAAACACGCUCCAGGUGACAAGCGCCAUAUAUCUGUGCUGCCAGGAAAUAGGAUUAAAAGGUUCAAAGAGUCUAUUAGCCGGGUCCAACCGGUUGCAGGAGCGGAUAUAAAAACGAGAGCAGAUUUAUUGCAAAUAACUGAAGGAAUUCGUAGAUCUAUUGCGAUAAAGCACAUAGUGUCAAGCAAGUGGCAUAACAAACCUUUCCUGGAGCUUUGUUUCUAUAUUUAAACCAGUUAACACCACCGCUGAACCGUAUUAGCCAUUCUAGUCCACCUCCUCUAAUGAUCGCACUGUAAUCACCAGCUUUUAUCUAUCACAAAAAAAAUCACCAAGGACCAAAAUGACAAAGGGGGUGGUUAUUUUUGUGGGCUUGUGGCCACACUGUGUGUCCCUGGAGAGGCUGCAACACCUUUUCAUGCUUCAUGUCAUGGCUAAAACCGAUUGCAACAAUAGUUUCUCUUUACUCAAUUCUGAAUUCUUGCUGCAUUGGUUGAAUAUGGUCAAUCAAUCGCGUCUGUAAUGCAGAAAUGUAUUGCAAACUUAAAAGGAAAAGCAAAAGCUGAUACAAAUUUGGACAUGUACACUUUGUAAAACCUUCCUAAUACAUGUCUUCCUCCGUAAUAAACGUUGAUCUGUACUAUUUGUAGCGGAGUAAAUCAAAGCCGUUGCAGUACUGUGCUGGGUGCAUGCACAAAGCAGUCAAAACCGUGCUCAGAUCAAUUCUUGAGAGGCUGAAAUAAUUGAUGGCUAACCUAAUGUUGUAUAAGCAAUGACAUUUCCUGUGCUUGCCUUAGCCAACAAAGUUCAAACACUCGCGAUACACAAGCUUUAAUACCAGACGCCGCUCUAUACUUCCUCCUUCCAAUGGCAGACUGGGCCCCCCUGGUGAGCAAACGACGCCCACUCUAGCCUAGCAUGCUGGCGACUCCUGGGUCUAAACAGCACGGUACUGAUGACGCAUAACUUGCGAUAUAGAGGCACAAUUUGAAAUCAAACCAUUGAGGUGUAUAUGCAUACGCAUGUAUUUGCGAUGGUUGAAAACAAUAGUCAAAAAGAUGAAAAUAAAUAUUGAGUUGAAAAAUGUUGAUAAGAAAAACAUACUGUUUCUCUCUUGAUCUGUAGGUGGAUAACGAUGUGCUUACUAUGCUUACCCAAUUGCUCACUCCUCCAAACAGAGGGCCAAGAUGUAGUCAUGGCAAACACACACCAAGAAAUGAGACGUCACCUGAUUCCCGCAACAUCAUCACCCCUUGCCGCCUAAGGAUAAUGAAUUAGCUAUAUAACGCUAACGUUCAGAAGCUGCAAUAGAGUAUGGACAAUAGUUACGUUAACCAGGUCGUCAAAACGAGCUAUUUUAAAAUUACACUUCAUUGUCAACAUUGCGAAUGUCAAUUCUGAAAGUAGAUUAGGGGUCAAAUAUUUCAUGAAACGUAAGAAAUUGUUGUAAAGUCUGUUAGCUGCUAGUCUGAUAUCACAGUUUACCAACUGCACCCGUGUUAGCUAUCUCUAUUACGAGCAAUUCUGAAAUAAAAACAUUUAACACAGGGCAAUAUCUACAUGUAGUAGCAAAGGAUUGGAUACCUCACAAAACUCGUGUUAUAACUGUGAAAAUCAACAAUUCAUAUAAUUACUUACUUUCGGCUCAGCUAUCUUCACAUAACCCUCGGUUGCUCUUUGUUUGGAGUGCAUGGCAGUCAGCCAUUCUCUCAACCCAAAGGAGAAAGACAUGGGUUAAGGAGAAGAAUUGGGAUUCAGCCUUACUGCCUCACACGGUCCCAAAACUUUGUGUAAUACCACGGCUACACAAAGUUUACAUACAAAUUACGUAUACAUUUUGCAUAUUGUAGCUAACACUGUUUUCAAACUGAAAAUAAAAAAGUACAGUAGUGACUUUACGUAAAAGAGACAACCACGAAAAGCUAAGCCAGCUCAUCUAAUCGAGUCAAUUAUUUAUGGUCGACAGAGGUAAGGAAAAACUCUGACCUAAAGUGCAGUUUCAUGUGGAGAAAAAAAAAUCUAAUUUUAGAUAAACACCAGUGUUGUUGUGAACAAAGCCAAAAUGUCUUGAGAGUAAUGGCAUAUUUUAAAGAGUCCCAACUAACGCGGGUUAUGCAUAUCUGCCAGUAUCCAUCCUCUUCACCCCAAAAUAGUGAUUGUCACAGAAAGGAAGUGAAGUGUAAUUGACUGAAAGUGUAGGGAUAAUUAAAGUAACAUGUUGGACAGGAGGGAAGAAAUGAAUGCCUCCCCAUUUAAUGGUUGCUUAGGGAGAAAGAGUGUUUCCGUCAUCUGACUCCACUUUUGGGGACUGGAAAUAGGUGCUGGUGGAAAAUGUAAAAACGCCACAAAAGUCACUCCACGUACUCGGGUCAUCAGGCGCCAGGAUGUCACGAUUAGUGGAGAGCUUCAUUCGACAUAUAAAUAUUGUGUCCCGUCACUCAGAUGGCGUGCUGAUGAACUGACUAAACAGUGUUUUAAGGCAGUUGAUAAGAUCAUCAACAAAUAACAGGUUACACCAAUGAUGCACACGGGGUCCCUCAGAAGGCAUGUACAAAUACGUCGGACAAGGACCAGUGACCAAUAUUUGUAUUAUUUCUUCAUGUAAAUAACCUAUUCAAUACAAAUUAGAGAGAUUGUACAGUUGUGUGUGCUGAGAAGCCCCAUUUUGUGGUACAAUGAUGUCAUUAUAAAAACCACAGCAGUGUUGGCCAAGAUUUAAGGGAGUCCUUAUUUAAAUUACUAAAGCUCUGGACACCUUACGUGCACAUCUUACGCUUCUCCAAGCACUGGACAAAGGCUUCAGAGAGUAGACAGACAACCAUAAGGCAAGUGGUACGGUUCAGAUCAGUUCAUUUAAGGCGCAAUCAGGCUUAUCUUUUCAUUGUUGACCCACCAAUGGAGUGGUUAGCUUCACCCUUCACAAGUGUUACAACUUGAACCCAGACAAACGGGUGCAGAAAAGUAGGAUGUGUUGGCCAUCAAAACGUAAUAAAAGGCAUACCUUGCCAAAACUGAAGUGAAGUGUACCACUUGUUUGAAACGAGGCUCAGGUGUACAGUCAUAUUGACAUUUGAGAGGUAACUGAAACCUAGCUUUAGACGAUGAAACUGCAAGCGCACAACUCUAGAUCAUGUAUGCCAGCUGUUUUGGAACAGUCUAAAACAAAAUGGACCUAAGCAGUACCUAUCAUCAAAGAACCCUAGAGCAUCUCUAAUCUGUCACUACUCUCUCCUGACCACACUGCUGCAUCUCUCUUGUACAUACAAUAUAGCUUAUUUUUCAAUUUUGUUUGGCCUUCUUUACAGGCUACAUAUAAUAUCUCAUGUUCUGAAGUAGAAAGAAAAACAGAAUGUUAUAUUUCAGUCAAAGAAAAGGAACCUAAGGAAUCAUUUAUCAAUAAAAAAAAAUAGAUGAUGAAAAUAAUUGUAUUUCUUGUAUAGUGAAUCACUGAUGUUUAAAAGUUUGGGAUUUUAUACUCUGUUUUGUGAAUAUUGGCUGAAGCUGGGAUGGACUCAUUGCCAUGAGUUGUUUUUUAUUUAUAUUUUUAAAGGCUGCACAAUCCAUAUUUAAAAUACCUUAAAAGAUAUUUUGCAUGCUGACAGCUCUUGGAUCAAUAAUAAAACAAACAAAAUGCACUAUAAAAAAAAAAGACUGACGGGUGGUAAUGGUCAUGUGGAAUGAGGAGGAAGUCCAUUGUGCUCUUGAUAAUGUGACUUUUGGGGACCAUGUACAGAUUUGAGUUAGUAAAAGCUGCCAAUUUUAGCACAUUUUUCCGUCUUGUGUGUAUGCAAUUAUUCAAGAUUAUUGAGGGUAUUCUGCAAGGCCGAAACUGGAACGUGAAGUUUACCCCUUGAAACUUAUAAGUAUUCAUUAUGGGAAGACUUCCAAGAAACCCACACUUUCUUCUUAACUGUCACCUCUGUCAAAAUGACCAAAAAAAACAUCUCUGAUAAUGAAGCACUUUCGACCCCGGUAGAACAGGACGUCCCCAAUUAACUGGUCCUCAGUCUGAAAGGAGUCCCCGAAAGUCAUCCAAGUCAAGCAAACAUACUAACAGAUCAAAACCUAUGCUAUCACCAUCGUAUUUAAGCUAUGGAUGAAUGCUGCACAAUGUUGUGUGUUUUGUUUCUUAAGGGCUGGUGGUUGUCUAUGGACUUCAUCUACUCUGUGUUUACAUUUUGUUUUGCUUUUUGCCUCCCAACUGAAGAGAUCUGCUCCAAUCAUUUUACCAAUGUGAGGAGGGAAUUCUGCCUUAAACCCAGCCUGUUCUCUCUCUCUCUCGCAGUUACUACCUGUGAACACUGCUUGGACCACCAUGUAUUGUAGAAAUGGUGGGGGGAGUGCCACAUCUUUAAAGUCAGAAAACCUGCUGUUUAAUUUACCUCAAGCUUAUUUGUUGCAUGACUCUCCAUUGCCAUCGGUUACAAGGACCAAAAAUGUCUCAGCCUACUGAGCGCUUUGCACCAACCGAAAAUCCAAUCAGACUCCUCACUAAUCAUUCCCAGCUUCAUCAUCUAAUCCUAUUCAGUCAUGUAAAACCUAUUUGUAUUUAUUCAAAUUCUCACUGAAUGAAAUGCUAUAAUUCCAUGACUAACUGGGAUAACACGUUUUUUUUUCAUUUGUUUUUGAAACAGAGAUGUAAUUUGAAUCAAUGUCGGCUCGGGUCUGUUUCCCCUUGAUUUGGAGUGAGAUCCUACCAUAGUGCUCCUGAACUCUGUAGUUCUCUAGUUCAUUAUAUUCUGCUUAGACGAAAAUAAAGCACAGUCCUGUAGAAAAAG
Nerophis lumbriciformis (worm pipefish) is the source of this 9682-nucleotide RNA transcript. It is a transcript of the gene named CUGBP Elav-like family member 6, with no coding region annotated. NCBI's taxonomy places the organism in Eukaryota, Metazoa, Chordata, Actinopteri, Syngnathiformes, Syngnathidae. The record is from RefSeq and is a predicted model, not a curated record.